CAUAGAAAUGAACAUAUUGUUGA
This 23-nucleotide microRNA is filed under the name Manduca sexta (tobacco hornworm). RNAcentral's name for it is "mse-miR-6095". Lineage: Eukaryota; Metazoa; Arthropoda; Insecta; Lepidoptera; Sphingidae. The record is from miRBase by way of RNAcentral.